GAUCAUCAGGAUUCUCAGCCUGAUCUCUUAUCUUGCGCAUCCUGUCUCCACCUCCUCUCUCCUCCCCGAGACCAUGGGAACAGUGUCCUUUCCCCGUAGAUUCCAUCUUCAAUUUUCUUGCGUGUUGCUGAUGAAUGCAGUGGUUUUGAGAAUAUCCUGAAGAGGCCUGGAAGAAUGACAGCCAAUCAAAUUAGGAAGUUUUCAGAUGCUGGAUUUUAUUGGAGUUACCUGAUCAAAGAGGAUGGCCUUUGAAGAAAAUCUUAAGAGUCACAUCACCAAGCGAAGCAAUUAAACUGGUUUACCCAGUCAAGCUAGGAGGCUACUCCAGGAGAUUCCGAGAAUCCGAAUCAAGUUCCAAAUCGUCGUUCAGUGUGAGCAGCCCCUCCAGCCCUCUCCUACUAGGUGCCCAAGUGGAAAAAGCCCAGAUCUGGG
Tachyglossus aculeatus (Australian echidna) is the source of this 432-nucleotide long non-coding RNA. RefSeq lists it as uncharacterized. NCBI's taxonomy places the organism in Eukaryota, Metazoa, Chordata, Mammalia, Monotremata, Tachyglossidae. The record is from RefSeq and is a predicted model, not a curated record. The transcript is spliced from 4 exons.